Molecule: long non-coding RNA, 959 nt
Organism: Salmo salar (Atlantic salmon)
Lineage: Eukaryota; Metazoa; Chordata; Actinopteri; Salmoniformes; Salmonidae
Source: RefSeq, a predicted model, not a curated record
UUGCAGUAAAAGUUCUCAGUGAGGAAACAAUACCGUAUCACUCUCGUGAUUAUUUCUCCCCUUUUUCAGCUCUCCUCUCCUGUGUCCUGCUCCCAGAGAUCAACCAAGUGCUAUUCUCCAAGCAUGGGCUCAGCUGAUUCACUCACCUGUGAGGAGAACCAUCCUACUGCAGUUUGAACUAGCCCUGCCAUCACUAUUAGACAUUGAGACCCCAUAUGCAUUUGUCUGUUGUCUUUUCUUUGUGGGUUUUGUCUUACAGUCAAUUAGAGUUGAAGAGCACCAACUACAGAUACACAUGCUUGUUAGGGAAUCUCAAAUACUCAAUUCAAUAUAGAAUCAGUUUGACGAGGUGAAAAACAGAAUGUUUUACUAUUGUAACAUACAGUGAUGAGAACUCCAUUGUCCCAGUCAUGAACCCAGGCUUUGCCGUAGAUGGUAGAGUUCUCGUCUUUGGACUACACAAUCUUAAGAUUGCAUUCCGCUAAGGCACUUCUCUCUCUCUCUACAUCGGUGACCAGGGUGGUAUCCUUUCGAUACACCUAUGGGGCCAGGGCACACAAGUGCUCCUAGAGAGAGGAUGGCAGCGGGGGUGGGUGUACUGAAGCAUGUGUUGAUGACAGAUACUUCAAAUGUUGCCUGAGACAACAUUGCUAUUUGUCUCCAUACUCAAAUGGUGAAACACUAAAUGGGAAGUUCUUUGUUCUAAUGUAUAGGCAUGAAAGGUACACUAUGGAAAACAUGCAUCAUACUCAGUCAUAUUUAGUAGUAGAAUAAUGGAUUGGCAAGCAUUUGGCACCGUCAACUUUGAAGGUUAGUAGGAAAGUAACCAUUUAAACCAAUCUAUUAACAUUCACUGGACAUUUAGCAUUUGAAACUCAAAUAUUCAUUUCCCAACUGCUUUUUCUAUAAUCCUGUAGACUCUAUCAUUCUCCAUACGUUAUAUUAAAAUGCAUUCAACA